RNAcentral lists this ribosomal RNA (2214 nucleotides) under Triticum aestivum (bread wheat). RNAcentral's name for it is "partial small subunit ribosomal RNA". The record is from RNAcentral. Lineage: Eukaryota; Viridiplantae; Streptophyta; Magnoliopsida; Poales; Poaceae.
AUGGCAGGCGUGGCGCCCUCCGCCUCCGCGCGCCAGAUAUCCCACACGCACUUCAUCGAGCAGCUCCGCCGCGCCGCCCGCGCCCGCGACGGCGAGGCGCUCCACGCCUGGGCGCUCAAGUCCGGCGCCGCGUCCCACGCGCCCGUCUCCAACUCCCUCAUCACCUUCUACGCCUCCCUCCCGCGGCCGCUCCUCGCCGCGGCCCUGGCCGUCUUCGCGGGCAUCCCCACCGCCGCCCGCGACGUCGCCUCCUGGAACUCCCUGCUCAACCCGCUCUCGCACCACCACCCGCGCGCCGCGCUCUCCAACUUCCGCUCCAUGAUGUUCUCGUCCUCGCCCGCCAUCCUCCCGUCCCCGCACUCCUUUGCCGCCGUCUUCACGGCCGCCGGCCGCGCGCGCUCCGCGUCCGCCGGAGCCGCCGCCCACGCUCUCGCUUGCAAGGUCCCCUCGGCUACCUCCAACGUGUUCGUGUCCACCGCUCUGCUCAGCAUGUACUGCAAGCUGGACCUCGUCCCCGAUGCCCGGAGAGUGUUCGACGAAAUGCCGCUGCGGAACGAGUUCUCCUGGGCCGCUAUGGUGGCGGGCUAUGCUUCCACAAAGUGCUCCGAGGAGGCCUUUGAGAUCUUCCAGUUGAUGCUUGCAGAGUGCCCGUCACAGAAAAAUGAGUUUGUGGCUACGGCAGUUCUUAGUGCGGUCAGUGUGCCGUCGGGCUUGCCGAUGGGGGUGCAGCUGCAUGGGUUGGCUGUGAAGGAUGGGUUGGUGGUUUUUGUGUCGGUUGAAAACUCGCUUGUCACGAUGUAUGCAAAGGCUGGGUGUAUGGAUGCAGCAUUACAUGUGUUUGCGUCGUCUAAGGAGAGGAACUCCAUCACUUGGUCCGCGAUGAUCACUGGCUACGCGCAGAAUGGGAAUGCAGAAAGCGCAUUUAGAAUGUUCUUGCAGAUGCUUGCUGCAGGGUUUUCACCAACUGAGUUCACUUUGGUCGGGGUGCUCAAUGCUUGUAGUGAUGUGGGAGCAUUGAUGGAAGGAAAGCAGACACAUGGUUUGAUGGUGAAGCUUGGGUUUGAGGUGCAGGUGUAUGUGAAGAGCGCACUGGUGGACAUGUAUGCCAAAUGCGGAUGUAUUACUGAUGCAAAGGAAGGUUUUGAUCAAUUUCAUGAGCUUGACAUUGUCCUUUGGACGGCUAUGGUUGCCGGGCAUGUGCAGAAUGGGGAGUAUGAGGAAGCCUUGAGGUUGUAUGCCAGGAUGGACAAGGAGGGCAUCAUUCCGACUAACUUGACUAUAACUAGUGUUCUGAAAGCAUGUGCUGGCCUUGCAGCAUUGGAGCCAGGGAAGCAAUUGCACACUCAGAUCCUGAAGUUCGGGUUUGGUUUGGGGUCUUCUGUCGGAAGUGCCUUGUCUACAAUGUAUUCAAAGUGUGGAAACCUUGACGAUGGCACGGUUGUAUUCAGAAGGAUGCCUCAUAAGGAUGUUAUUGCAUGGAACUCGAUCAUUUCUGGAUUCUCUCAAAAUGGACGUGGAAAUGAAGCACUUGACCUGUUUGAGGAGAUGAAGCUAGAGGGCACUGCUCCAGAUCAUAUAACAUUCAUUAAUGUGUUAUGUGCUUGUAGUCACAUGGGCCUAGUUGACAGAGGAUGGAUUUACUUUAGGUCAAUGACCAAAGACUAUGGUUUAACUCCUAGGCUGGAUCAUUAUGCUUGCAUGGUUGAUAUUCUUAGCAGAGCAGGGAUGCUAAAUGAAGCAAAAGAUUUCAUAGAGUCCAUUAGUAUUGACCAUGGAACAUGUUUGUGGCGUAUAUUAUUGGGAGCAUGUCGCAGUAUACGGGAUUUUGAUGUCGGGGCAUAUGCAGGUGAGCAGCUGAUGGAAUUAGGUACUGGGGACUCCUCUGCAUAUAUAUUGUUGUCAAACAUCUAUGCUGCCCAGAGAAAAUGGACUGAUGUUGAGCGGGUGAGGCAUUUGAUGAGAUCUAGGGGAGUUAGCAAAGAUCCAGGAUGCAGCUGGGUUGAGCUUAACAGCAAAAUUCAUGUGUUUGUUGUUGGGGAGCAGCAACAUCCUGAGGCGGAAAAUAUAAAUACAGAGUUGAGAAGGCUUGCUAAACACAUGAAGGACGAAGGGUACCGUCCAACAUCUAAAUUUUCAUGGGAGGAAGAACUGGAUACAUUGGGAGAAUCUCAUGAAGAAGAUCAAUUCGAGUUGAUAUCGGCAGUUUCUAGCUGA